Molecule: long non-coding RNA, 554 nt
Organism: Salvia miltiorrhiza (redroot sage)
Lineage: Eukaryota; Viridiplantae; Streptophyta; Magnoliopsida; Lamiales; Lamiaceae
Exons: 2
Source: RefSeq, a predicted model, not a curated record
CCCCCAUACACCUAUUCGAGACCCUCUGGACCUAAUAGUACCACCACCAACAACUACGUCAGAGCAGAUGGUCAGAGUACUUGCAAUUUUAUCACGGAUCGACCAUCAACUAAGGUUCAUGCUGCUCCCGGAGGAGGUUCUUCUUUGGGUUACCUUUUUGGUGGCGGCAGCGGCAGCAGCAGCAACUAAGCAACAGCCAGGGUCCUGCAGCCGGGAUCGCCAAAGUGUGUUUCGAGAUAUUUAUUUGUAAAAAUGUGGCAGCAAUAUGGUAUUUUACGUCUUUGCUGCAAGCCUCGUGGGAUGUUUCUGUUUAAGGGUUUGGGUUAUUUGUUUGUAAAUGUAACAGCAAAUUAUGGUAUUGUGUCUCUGCUGCAAGAGUUGUCAAUAGUUUUUCUACAGACAGAUAUGAAUUCGUUGGUAAAUUUGAAGUGUGAAUCGCUACAUCUUAGUUGUGUUUGGAUGCAUAAUAAUAAGCAUCUCUCAAAAAGGCUUCCUUUGUAAAAUAACUAAACCAUAUUCUAGAUUGUAUUAUUGUGAUUUUAUGGGAUUUUUCA